GAAAAUUAAUCAAGUUUAAUCUUGGAAUAAUGAGUUUUCCGUGUUAUCAUCGUAUGGUAAUUGGUCACUCGAAAUUAAUGUCAUGUCUUGGCUUGUAACAGACGCGUUUAUUUUAAAUUUUAAAUGUUCGCAACUAAUCAAGUCUUUAUAAUGGCAUGUUUAAUUUUUCCCUUUUAAAAAGAGGAAGAAAUCAAACAACUUUUUUUUAUAA
RNAcentral lists this unclassified non-coding RNA (211 nucleotides) under uncultured Archaeospora. Its description in RNAcentral is "partial internal transcribed spacer 2". Lineage: Eukaryota; Fungi; Glomeromycota; Glomeromycetes; Archaeosporales; Archaeosporaceae. The record is from RNAcentral.